GUGAAUCCAACUUGAGAGAUGGAAUACUCACAAGAUUGUGACAAUGUGAUAGGUCAAGUUUUUCAAGUGAAUCUAACUUGAGAGCUGGAAUACUCCUAAGAUUGUGACAAUUUUUAACAAACAAGGUUUUAAGUUUAUCCAACAACCCAUCCACCACGCCUGGAAAGCUCUCAAGCUUAUAACAAUUUGAAAUGACAAGUUUUUCUAGUGAAUCCAACUUGAGAGGUGAAAUACUCACGAGAUUGCGACAAUAUGAUAGGUAAAGUUUUUCAAGUGAAUCCAACUUGAGAGCUGGAAUACUCCUGAGAUUGUGACAACUUUUCACAAAUAGGGUUUUAAGUUUUCCAAGAAACCCAUCCACCACAUUUGGAAAACUCUCGAGCUUAUAACAACUUGAAAGGUAAAGUUUUUCUAGUGAAUCCAACUUGAGAGGUAAGAUAUUCACGAGAUUGCGACAAUGUGAUAGGUCAAGUUUUUCAAGUGAAUCCAACCUGAGAGUUGGAAUACUCCUAAGAUUGUGACAAUUUCGAACAAACAGGGUUUUAAGUUUUCCAAGAAAUCCAUCCACCACGCUUGGAAAGCUCUCGAGCUUAUAACAAUUUGAUAGGCCAAGUGUUUCUAGUGAAUCCAACUUGAGAGGUGAAAUACUCACGAGAUUGCGACAAUGUGAUAGGUCAAGUUUUUCAAGUGAAUCCAACUUGAGAGUUGGAAUACUCCUAAGAUUGUGACAAUUUCGAACAAACAGGGUUUUAAGUUUUCCAAGAAAUCCAUCCACCACGCUUGGAAAGCUCUCGAGCUUAUAACAAUUUGAAAGGACAAGUUUUUCUAGUGAAUCCAACUUGAGAGGUGAUAUACUCACGAGAUUGGGACAAUAUGAUAGGUAAAGUUUUUCAAGUGAAUCCAACUUGAGAGGUGGAAUACUCCUUAACUCGUAGCAACCUCUAAAACUCAUGGUUUUAAGCUUAUCACCAAACACCAUAUGUGAA
RNAcentral lists this long non-coding RNA (986 nucleotides) under Medicago truncatula (barrel medic). RNAcentral's name for it is "long non-coding RNA (MTRU_LNC004458)". The record is from RNAcentral. Lineage: Eukaryota; Viridiplantae; Streptophyta; Magnoliopsida; Fabales; Fabaceae.